UCAGUAACACGUAGUCAACAUGCCCAGGGGACGUGGAUAACCUCGGGAAACUGAGGAUAAACCGCGAUAGGCCAAGAUUUCUGGAAUGGAUCAUGGCUGAAACCUAUACGGCCCCGUGGAUUGGACUGCGACCGAUCAGGCUGUUGGUGAGGUAAUGGCCCACCAAACCUAUAACCGGUACGGGCUUUGAGGGAAGGAGCCCGGAGAUGGGCACUGAGACAAGGGCCCAGGCCCUAUGGGGCGCAGAAGGCGCGAAACCUCUGCAAUAAGCGAAAGCUUGACAGGGUAUACUCUGAGUGAUGCCCGUUAAGGGCACAUCUUUUGGCACCUCUAAAACACUGGUGCAGAAUAAGGGGUGGGCAA
This 363-nucleotide ribosomal RNA is filed under the name unidentified archaeon. RNAcentral's name for it is "bacterial SSU rRNA". It matches the Rfam family "Archaeal small subunit ribosomal RNA", at positions 90 to 449 of the family's 1478-position model. The record is from RNAcentral.